GACCGCGUAGUUCAGUUGGCAGAGCAUUGGGCUAGUAUUCCAAAGGUCGUAGGUUCGAAUCCCACCGUGGCCG
This 73-nucleotide transfer RNA is filed under the name Paramuricea clavata. It matches the Rfam family "tRNA". Rfam says of the family: Transfer RNA (tRNA) molecules are approximately 80 nucleotides in length. Their secondary structure includes four short double-helical elements and three loops (D, anti-codon, and T loops). Further hydrogen bonds mediate the characteristic L-shaped molecular structure. tRNAs have two regions of fundamental functional importance: the anti-codon, which is responsible for specific mRNA codon recognition, and the 3' end, to which the tRNAs corresponding amino acid is attached (by aminoacyl-tRNA synthetases). tRNAs cope with the degeneracy of the genetic code in two manners: having more than one tRNA (with a specific anti-codon) for a particular amino acid; and 'wobble' base-pairing, i.e. permitting non-standard base-pairing at the 3rd anti-codon position. The record is from Rfam by way of RNAcentral. Lineage: Eukaryota; Metazoa; Cnidaria; Anthozoa; Malacalcyonacea; Plexauridae.